This is a non-coding RNA of Acanthosepion pharaonis, 100 nucleotides long. The record is from the annotation of a GenBank genome assembly. Lineage: Eukaryota; Metazoa; Mollusca; Cephalopoda; Sepiida; Sepiidae.
CGUUGAAACAUCUGUUCCUGUACGACCACCGAAGUUAAGCAACGUCGAGCCAGGUUAGUACCUAGAUGGGUGCUCGCUUGGAAAUACCAUGUGCUGUAGG